AUUGAACGCUGGCGGCAUGCUUUACACAUGCAAGUCGAACGGUAACAGGCCGCAAGGUGCUGACGAGUGGCGAACGGGUGCGUAAUGCAUCGGAACGUGCCCAGUCGUGGGGGAUAACUACUCGAAAGAGUAGCUAAUACCGCAUACGAUCUAUGGAUGAAAGCGGGGGACCGUAAGGCCUCGCGCGAUUGGAGCGGCCGAUGUCAGAUUAGGUAGUUGGUGGGGUAAAGGCUCACCAAGCCAACGAUCUGUAGCUGGUCUGAGAGGACAACCAGCCACACUGGGACUGAGACACGGCCCAGACUCCUACGGGAGGCAGCAGUGGGGAAUUUUGGACAAUGGGCGCAAGCCUGAUCCAGCAAUGCCGCGUGCAGGAAGAAGGCCUUCGGGUUGUAAACUGCUUUUGUACGGAACGAAACGGCUCUGGUUAAUACCCGGGGCUAAUGACGGUACCGGAAGAAUAAGCACCGGCUAACUACGUG
This 482-nucleotide ribosomal RNA is filed under the name uncultured bacterium. RNAcentral's name for it is "partial 16S ribosomal RNA". It matches the Rfam family "Bacterial small subunit ribosomal RNA", at positions 30 to 507 of the family's 1533-position model. The record is from RNAcentral.